This 548-nucleotide ribosomal RNA is filed under the name uncultured Methanomicrobiales archaeon. RNAcentral's name for it is "bacterial SSU rRNA". It matches the Rfam family "Archaeal small subunit ribosomal RNA", at positions 339 to 891 of the family's 1478-position model. The record is from RNAcentral. Lineage: Archaea; Methanobacteriati; Methanobacteriota; Methanomicrobia; Methanomicrobiales.
GCGCGAAAACUUUACAAUGCGAGAAAUCGUGAUAAGGGAACCCCGAGUGCCCGUAAAUUCGGGCUGUCCAUCAGUGCAAAAAACUGGUGAAGAAAGAGCCGGGCAAGACCGGUGCCAGCCGCCGCGGUAAUACCGGCGGCUCGAGUGGUGGCCACUAUUACUGGGCUUAAAGCGUCCGUAGCUUGGUUGUUAAGUCUCCUGGGAAAUCCAUCGGCUCAACCGAUGGGCGUUCAGGAGAUACUGGCAACCUAGGGACCGGGAGAGGUGAGAGGUACUCCAGGGGUAGGAGUGAAAUCUCGUAAUCCUUGGGGGACCACCGAUGGCGAAGGCAUCCCACCAGAACGGGUCCGACGGUGAGGGACGAAAGCUGGGGGCACGAACCGGAUUAGAUACCCGGGUAGUCCCAGCCGUAAACGAUGCUCGCUAGGUGUCAGGUGCGGUGCGACCGCAUCUGGUGCCGUAGUGAAAACUUGAAGCGAGUCACCUGGGAAGUACGGUCGCAAGGCUGAAACUUAAAGGAAUUGGCGGGGGAGCACUACAACGGGUGG